RNAcentral lists this transfer RNA (51 nucleotides) under Enterococcus faecium EnGen0132. Its description in RNAcentral is "tRNA-Ser". It matches the Rfam family "tRNA", at positions 22 to 71 of the family's 71-position model. Rfam says of the family: Transfer RNA (tRNA) molecules are approximately 80 nucleotides in length. Their secondary structure includes four short double-helical elements and three loops (D, anti-codon, and T loops). Further hydrogen bonds mediate the characteristic L-shaped molecular structure. tRNAs have two regions of fundamental functional importance: the anti-codon, which is responsible for specific mRNA codon recognition, and the 3' end, to which the tRNAs corresponding amino acid is attached (by aminoacyl-tRNA synthetases). tRNAs cope with the degeneracy of the genetic code in two manners: having more than one tRNA (with a specific anti-codon) for a particular amino acid; and 'wobble' base-pairing, i.e. permitting non-standard base-pairing at the 3rd anti-codon position. The record is from RNAcentral. Lineage: Bacteria; Bacillati; Bacillota; Bacilli; Lactobacillales; Enterococcaceae.
AGCACUUGGUUUGGGACCAAGGGGUCGCAGGUUCGAAUCCUGUCUUCCCGA